This 1121-nucleotide ribosomal RNA is filed under the name Serratia sp. 6C-24. Its description in RNAcentral is "bacterial SSU rRNA". It matches the Rfam family "Bacterial small subunit ribosomal RNA", at positions 359 to 1474 of the family's 1533-position model. Lineage: Bacteria; Pseudomonadati; Pseudomonadota; Gammaproteobacteria; Enterobacterales; Yersiniaceae. The record is from RNAcentral.
AUAAUGCCACAAUGGGCGGCAAGCCUGAUGCAGCCAUGCCGGCGUGUGUGAGAGGCCUUAGGGUUGUAAGCACUUCAGCGAGGAGGAAGGGCAGUGUGCUAAUAGCACAUUGCAUUGACGUUACUCGCAGAAGAAGCACCGGCUAACUCCGUGCCAGCAGCCGGCGGUAAUACGGAGGGUGCAAGCGUUAAUCGGAAUUACUGGGCGUAAAGCGCACGCAGGCGGUUUGUUAAGUCAGAUGUGAAAUCCCCGCGCUUAACGUGGGAACUGCAUUUGAAACUGGCAAGCUAGAGUCUUGUAGAGGGGGGUAGAAUUCCAGGUGUAGCGGUGAAAUGCGUAGAGAUCUGGAGGAAUACCGGUGGCGAAGGCGGCCCCCUGGACAAAGACUGACGCUCAGGUGCGAAAGCGUGGGGAGCAAACAGGAUUAGAUACCCUGGUAGUCCACGCUGUAAACGAUGUCGAUUUGGAGGUUGUGCCCUUGAGGCGUGGCUUCCGGAGCUAACGCGUUAAAUCGACCGCCUGGGGAGUACGGCCGCAAGGUUAAAACUCAAAUGAAUUGACGGGGGCCCGCACAAGCGGUGGAGCAUGUGGUUUAAUUCGAUGCAACGCGAAGAACCUUACCUACUCUUGACAUCCAGAGAAUUCGCUAGAGAUAGCUUAGUGCCUUCGGGAACUCUGAGACAGGUGCUGCAUGGCUGUCGUCAGCUCGUGUUGUGAAAUGUUGGGUUAAGUCCCGCAACGAGCGCAACCCUUAUCCUUUGUUGCCAGCGAUUCGGUCGGGAACUCAAAGGAGACUGCCGGUGAUAAACCGGAGGAAGGUGGGGAUGACGUCAAGUCAUCAUGGCCCUUACGAGUAGGGCUACACACGUGCUACAAUGGCGUAUACAAAGAGAAGCGAACUCGCGAGAGCAAGCGGACCUCAUAAAGUACGUCGUAGUCCGGAUUGGAGUCUGCAACUCGACUCCAUGAAGUCGGAAUCGCUAGUAAUCGUAGAUCAGAAUGCUACGGUGAAUACGUUCCCGGGCCUUGUACACACCGCCCGUCACACCAUGGGAGUGGGUUGCAAAAGAAGUAGGUAGCUUAACCUUCCGGGAGGGCGCUUACCAAGUUGGUUGCCAUGU